CGGGUGUAAACUUCAGGGAUGGUUUUUGCUAAUUUUGAAGUUUGGGGACGAU
Molecule: microRNA precursor, 52 nt
Filed under: Lotus japonicus
Lineage: Eukaryota; Viridiplantae; Streptophyta; Magnoliopsida; Fabales; Fabaceae
Description: miR11096a stem-loop (lja-MIR11096a, lja-MIR11096b)
Source: miRBase by way of RNAcentral